UACGUAGGGGGCAAGCGUUGUCCGGAAUCAUUGGGCGUAAAGCGCGCGUAGGCGGCCCGGUAAGUCCGCUGUGAAAGUCAAAGGCUCAACCUUUGAAUGUCAGCGGAUACUGCCGGGCUAGAGUCCGGAAGAGGCGAGUGGAAUUCCUGGUGUAGCGGUGGAAUGCGCAGAUAUCAGGAGGAACACCAACGGCGAAGGCAGCUCGCUGGGACGGUACUGACGCUGAGGCGCGAAAGCCAGGGGAGCGAACGGG
Molecule: ribosomal RNA, 253 nt
Filed under: uncultured bacterium
Lineage: Bacteria
Description: partial 16S ribosomal RNA
Rfam family: Bacterial small subunit ribosomal RNA
Source: RNAcentral